RNA transcript from Frieseomelitta varia, 1612 nucleotides. It is a transcript of the gene named L-galactose dehydrogenase-like, with no coding region annotated. NCBI's taxonomy places the organism in Eukaryota, Metazoa, Arthropoda, Insecta, Hymenoptera, Apidae. The transcript is spliced from 9 exons. The record is from RefSeq and is a predicted model, not a curated record.
UUCGCAUGCUAUACGCGUUAAUACAAUUUAUUUGUAACUGCUUCUAUUUAUCGCACGUUCAAAUGAUGAUAAUAUUAUCUUAAAAAGUAUCAGAAUCUUUUACAUUCUAUUUAUUUCCGUAGAAAGUGCAUGUACUUUAUUCAAAGUGUGUUAGCCCUUGAACGCAAACUUGAAAGAUACUUAUAAUUGACAGACAUAUGAAUAAUGUGUUUAUUAAAGUGUUUCUUACAGUCUGGUGUAAAAAUAACCCAAUGUACUUCUAGUGUUGAAUGUAAAUCAUCUUACACAAAAAUGUUACCACCGACGUAUGUCGAAGGUUUUCACGAUUUGGAAGCUGUUGAAACUAUGGAAUAUAGACCUCUUGGCAAAACUGGAUUAAUGGUCAGCAAAUUAUCACUUGGUGGCGGACCAUUUGGUUGCCACUAUGGUACAUAUGACGAAAAUGAAGCAAUUAACGCGAUACGUCAAGGAAUACGACAAGGAAUUAAUUAUAUUGAUACCGCGCCAUGGUAUGGCCAAGGUCGAUCCGAAACUAUCAUUGGAAAAGCUUUGAAAGGCAUUCCACGUAAAGCAUAUUAUAUCGCGACAAAAGUCGGACGAUAUGAAUUAAAUUACGAAAAUAUGUUUAAUUUUUCCAAAGAGAAAACUAGAAAUAGUUUUCUCAAUAGUUUAGAACUUUUAGGUUUGGAUUAUGUUGACAUCAUACAAGUUCACGACAUCGAAUUUGCUCCAAGUUUGGAUAUAGUAAUCACGCAAACACUACCAGAACUAUCAAGGCAAAUUGCGGAUGGCAAUGCAAAAUACAUUGGUAUCACCGGAUAUCCGGUAUCCAUUUUAAAGGAAUGUAUCGAGAAAAGUAAUAUUAAAAUUUCUUGCAUACUAAGCUAUGCAAGACAUACAUUAAUAGAUAACACUUUAUCUGAAUAUAUACCAUUUUUUAAGGAACAUAAUAUUGGUAUAAUUAAUGCUUCUGCGCAGUGUAUGGGACUUUUAACUAAUAAAGGUCCACCAGCUUGGCAUCCCAGUUCAGAACAAACAAAGAAAAUAUGUACAAAUGCUGCUGUGUGUUGUAAGGAUUAUGAUGUAGAAUUAGCUAAAUUAGCACUAUGGUAUUCUACACAAUGUAAAGAUAUUGCCACGUAUUUAGUUGGAAUGCAAAAUUUGAAAGAAUUACAUAUGAAUCUCGAUGUUGUCAAAAAUGGUAUCACUGACAAGGAGAAGAAUAUACUUCAAGAAAUUCAAGAAAAUUCCCGUUAUCAAAGACUUUUAAAGUGAUCUGAUAUAGGAUAACAUCCUAUCUACUACAUUUUUAUGAUACAUAAGUUUCUAGGCUUUCCUAUUAUACUCCAAGUUAAUAUGAAUUUGAUAUUUAUCUAAAGUAACAGAAAACAAUUGGGAAGGCAAAGAACUUCAGGCAUACUGGAAACAAAUAAAAAAGUGAGAAAAAUAUAUUUUUUUACAUAUAACGUUAUUACACUGUUAAUAUCAUAUUCAGUAACACGUUAAAUGCCAAUGUAUAUAAUGCAUUUUUUACUAAAAUUAUAUUUUCAGUAUCUAACUUUACAAUGUAAAUAUUUUAAUAGAAUAAACUAUAAAUGCAAUCAUUAGAUAU